CCGCCGCUGGCCAGGCUCUCCACGAUGUGCGCGCCGGGGCGCCGCUCCCGCUCCCGAGCAUAGCAGCGGCGGCGGAGCCCCGCCGCCGGCGAGCUGUCUCUGGCGGAGGAGGGCGGGGGCGAGCUCGCCGUCUCCCUCGCGCUCAACAAUCUCUUCUCCCACGCCGUCGCCCGCUUCACGGCCUACUUCGGCCUCAUGCUCCCACAUCGACCGGCUCUUCGGCGCGGAGGACGUCCAUCAGGCGGCGGGCGAGAUCUCCGGCCGGGAUGGGCCACUGCCUCCACCAUCACCGCCUCUUCGUUGCCGCCGCCGCCGACAUGUGCGAGGGAUGCCUGUCUUCUUCAAAGAACGAGAUGCAUGAAGGAUGCAGAGGAGACAGGCUCCAUGGCGUGUUCCUGCUGUAAAGCUCUCGACCUACACGUACACGUUUCUUCUUCACGCGAGUUUGAAAACACACAUACUACCGCGAGCCGGAGAUCCAUCCACCCAGUUAUGGAUCCAUCAGGUACAAGCCACUAGCCACCAGGGCACACCUCCGAGCUAGCCGAUGCUUAGUAUACCAGUGUUCUGCUGCAUCCGGUGCGACCUCAAAGAAUACCUUCGUCUAGCUGGCCGUUGAGCACCUUAGGGACGACGAGGUGCAGUGCCUGGGGUGUAAGCAGUUCAACUACACGAUGAAGUGAGUAAAGGGGUUAAGACGGUUGCGUUGUGCGUGCGCUGCUUGCUUGCUGUCAACUUGUUGGACAACUGUACACAUAUGUGUUUUUUCAAGCCCACUGAUUUCAGCCUCUCCGUCUCCUUCAAGCCGAUGAGAAGUUCAGGGAUAUUCCUGGGAGUGCCUAUUAUGUGGCUCCGGAGGUGCUGAAGCGGAUAUAUGGAGCCGAUAAUUGCAUAUGGAGUGCUGGAGUUAUACUCUACAUUCUGCUGUCUGGCAUUCCUCCUUUUUGGGCAGCAGGGCAGAUCCUCCUGUGAAGCAUAAAUUUCAUUGUAUCCAAGGAGAUAUCAAAUGCUGAAAACAUGGGACUCAAAAUGUAUAGAGAGUCGGAGACACUGCUAAACUGUCAUUUAUGGGUGUCUACCAAAUUCACUAUCAACCACUGUUGUAGGACCGGCGGUUGGGAGGACAUAGACUAAGAGCUAUAUAUGAUGAUUCUACAAAAGAUAAUGUACUGAAAGACAUGAGAACUUUUAGGAUGCUACAGUGUAAAAAUAUUUGGAAUAUGGUAUGGUUUGCCGGACCGGAACCAAAGCAAGAACGAGAAGGAGCUUAAGUAGGGCCAUGUCGGGGUGUCGCCACAAUAGGAAAUUGUCGCUGGUGCUAGAUACCAGGGGAACCACAAAAUCUUUUUUCUACAAAGGUAACGAACUUUUUGGGUCUAGAGGGACCAAGAUGAGCAGGCCAUCAACAUCCUAUUCCUGCUUAUCUUUGUUUUCUUUGUAUCUGUAUUAUUAAUCUUGGUUUCAACUGGCGUGUUGAGUGCAAUCUUCCGAGUGCAAUCCUCAAAUAUGGGAUGUCGUACUAGCCUUAAUUCAACAUCUGGAAUGGCUUAUGAUGGCAUGGAGUUCCAUCAUUUCGGCUGCUUGCGGCGGGGAGUGUGGCCGGUGCUUGCGGCAGCAGCGAAGCGGCGUGUCGCGAGC
This is a non-coding RNA of Triticum urartu, 1638 nucleotides long. Lineage: Eukaryota; Viridiplantae; Streptophyta; Magnoliopsida; Poales; Poaceae. The record is from RefSeq and is a predicted model, not a curated record.